RNAcentral lists this ribosomal RNA (482 nucleotides) under uncultured bacterium. RNAcentral describes it as "partial 16S ribosomal RNA". It matches the Rfam family "Bacterial small subunit ribosomal RNA", at positions 30 to 507 of the family's 1533-position model. The record is from RNAcentral.
AUUGAAUGCUGGCGGCAUGCCUUACACAUGCAAGUCGAACGGUAACGGGCCUUCGGGUGCCGCCGAGUGGCGAACGGGUGAGUAAUACAUCGGAACGUGCCCGAUCGUGGGGGAUAACGAGGCGAAAGCUUUGCUAAUACCGCAUACGAUCUACGGAUGAAAGCAGGGGACCGCAAGGCCUUGCGCGGACGGAGCGGCCGAUGGCAGAUUAGGUAGUUGGUGGGAUAAAAGCUUACCAAGCCGACGAUCUGUAGCUGGUCUGAGAGGAUGAUCAGCCACACUGGGACUGAGACACGGCCCAGACUCCUACGGGAGGCAGCAGUGGGGAAUUUUGGACAAUGGGCGCAAGCCUGAUCCAGCCAUGCCGCGUGCAGGAUGAAGGCCUUCGGGUUGUAAACUGCUUUUGUACGGAACGAAAAGCCUUCUUUUAAUACAGGAGGGUCAUGACGGUACCGUAAGAAUAAGCACCGGCUAACUACGUG